UCCGCCCGGGAACUACGAGCAUUAGCUUAAAACCCAAAGGACUUGGCGGUGCUUUAGACCCCCCUAGAGGAGCCUGUUCUAGAACUGAUAACCCCCGUUAAACCUUACCCUCUUUUGUUUAAUCAGCCUAUAUACCGCCGUCGUCAGCUUACCCUGUGAAGGCACAUUACAGUAAGCACAAGUGGCACAGCCAAAAACGUCAGGUCGAGGUGUAGCCAAUGAGAGGGGAAGAAAUGGGCUACAUUCUCUGCCU
This 253-nucleotide ribosomal RNA is filed under the name Phycis blennoides. RNAcentral's name for it is "partial 12S ribosomal RNA". It matches the Rfam family "Bacterial small subunit ribosomal RNA", at positions 868 to 1239 of the family's 1533-position model. The record is from RNAcentral. Lineage: Eukaryota; Metazoa; Chordata; Actinopteri; Gadiformes; Phycidae.